This 256-nucleotide ribosomal RNA is filed under the name uncultured bacterium. Its description in RNAcentral is "partial 16S ribosomal RNA". It matches the Rfam family "Bacterial small subunit ribosomal RNA", at positions 521 to 776 of the family's 1533-position model. The record is from RNAcentral.
UGAUACGUAGGGUGCGAGCGUUGUCCGGAAUUAUUGGGCGUAAAGAGCUUGUAGGCGGUUGGUUGCGUCGUAAGUGAAAACUCAGGGCUUAACCCUGGGCCUGCUUGCGAUACGGGCUGACUUGAGGAAGGUAGGGGAGAAUGGAAUUCCCGGUGGAGCGGUGGAAUGCGCAGAUAUCGGGAGGAACACCAGUGGCGAAGGCGGUUCUCUGGACCUUUCCUGACGCUGAGAAGCGAAAGCGUGGGGAGCAAACAGG